Molecule: transfer RNA, 69 nt
Filed under: Marmota marmota marmota (Alpine marmot)
Lineage: Eukaryota; Metazoa; Chordata; Mammalia; Rodentia; Sciuridae
Also listed under: 3 other names
Rfam family: tRNA
About the family: Transfer RNA (tRNA) molecules are approximately 80 nucleotides in length. Their secondary structure includes four short double-helical elements and three loops (D, anti-codon, and T loops). Further hydrogen bonds mediate the characteristic L-shaped molecular structure. tRNAs have two regions of fundamental functional importance: the anti-codon, which is responsible for specific mRNA codon recognition, and the 3' end, to which the tRNAs corresponding amino acid is attached (by aminoacyl-tRNA synthetases). tRNAs cope with the degeneracy of the genetic code in two manners: having more than one tRNA (with a specific anti-codon) for a particular amino acid; and 'wobble' base-pairing, i.e. permitting non-standard base-pairing at the 3rd anti-codon position.
Source: Rfam by way of RNAcentral
GGGAUUGUAGCUCAGAGGUAGAGUACUUGCCUAGAAUGUAUGAGGUACUGGGUUUGAUUCUCAGUACCA